GAUGAACGCUGGCGGCGUGCUUAACACAUGCAAGUCGAACGAUGAAGCCCAGCUUGCUGGGUGGAUUAGUGGCGAACGGGUGAGUAACACGUGAGUAACCUGCCCUUGACUCUGGGAUAAGCCUGGGAAACUGGGUCUAAUACUGGAUAUGACUUCUCAUCGCAUGGUGGGGGGUGGAAAGAUUUAUUGGUCUUGGAUGGACUCGCGGCCUAUCAGCUUGUUGGUGAGGUAAUGGCUCACCAAGGCGACGACGGGUAGCCGGCCUGAGAGGGUGACCGGCACAAGUGGGACGGAGCACGGGCCCAGCCCCCUGGGGGGGGAAGGCGGGGGGAAUUUUGCAAAAGGGGCCCAAGCCUGGUGCAGGGGCCCCGGGGGGGGGAGGGCGGCCUUGGGGUUUUAAACCCUUUUCAGGAGGAAAGAAGCGAGGGGGCCGGUACCUGGAGAAGAAGCCGCGGCUAACUACGU
Molecule: ribosomal RNA, 465 nt
Filed under: uncultured bacterium
Lineage: Bacteria
Description: partial 16S ribosomal RNA
Rfam family: Bacterial small subunit ribosomal RNA
Source: RNAcentral